This 613-nucleotide ribosomal RNA is filed under the name uncultured bacterium. Its description in RNAcentral is "bacterial SSU rRNA". The stretch from base 1 to 534 matches the Rfam family "Bacterial small subunit ribosomal RNA", at positions 338 to 873 of the family's 1533-position model. The record is from RNAcentral.
CCUACGGGAGGCAGCAGUAAGGAAUAUUGGACAAUGGGCGCAAGCCUGAUCCAGCCAUGCCGCGUGAAGGAUUAAGGCCCUCUGGGUUGUAAACUUCUUUUAUAGGGGACGAAAAAAGGGCUUUCUAGCUCGACUGACGGUACCCUAUGAAUAAGCACCGGCUAACUCCGUGCCAGCAGCCGCGGUAAUACGGAGGGUGCAAGCGUUAUCCGGAUUCACUGGGUUUAAAGGGUGCGUAGGCGGGCAGUUAAGUCAGUGGUGAAAUCUCUGGGCUCAACCCCGGAAACUGCCAUUGAUACUAUCUGUCUUGAAUAUUGUGGAGGUGAGCGGAAUAUGUCAUGUAGCGGUGAAAUGCUUAGAUAUGACAUAGAACACCGAUUGCGUAGGCAGCUCGCUACACAUAUAUUGACGCUGAGGCACGAAAGCGUGGGGAUCAAACAGGAUUAGAUACCCUGGUAGUCCACGCCCUAAACUAUGAUUACUCGACAUUUGCGAUACACAGUAAGUGUCUGAGCGAAAGNAUAAUAAUACACCAGGAAGACGACCGACGAGUAGAACGUACAAUAGAAGUUAGAGGACGAGAGAGAGCGACGGACGACGACGAGGGAGGAGG